CCGCGGCACAUGGAGGUUCCCAGGCCAGGGGUCGAAUCGGAGCUGUAGCCACCGGCCUACGCCAGAGCCACAGCAACUCGGGAUCCCAGCCGCGUCUGCAACCUACACCACAGCUCACGGCAACGCCGAAUCGUUAUCCCACUGAGCAAGGGCAGGGAUCGAACCCGAAACCUCAUGGUUCCUAGUCGGAUUCAUCAACCACUGAGCCACAACGGGAACUCCUGUUAUUUUUAUUUUUUGAGUAUAGUUUUAAAUAUUAACAACUCUUGAUCUGAAGUCAUAUUUGGGAUUUGUGGAGCUUUUUUUGUUUGGGUUUUUGUAUGUCAGUUGAAAACACCUUUCAAAUUUUUCAAAAUUUCUAAACAUGCAUUCACCUAAAUUCACAUUCUGCAUCAUUUGGCUGCGUGGACAGGUCACCAGAGCUGAGCGUGGGGUGGGGGGGUGCGGGGAGGGGAGCAGGGGAGAGAGGCGUCCCUCUGGGACGGCCCCCUCAGGGUCCAUGUACCCCUCUUGGUUUAGAGUUCCUACUUACGUGUCAGCUACAAUUCCAAAACUACAUGUUAUUUCCAUAUUCUGACGUUGAGUAAGGCUACUCUCAUCCAUCCCUGGGGAAGCUUUGCAUCAGUUGUGAGCUGAGAUGCUUUUAGAGGGGAGCAGGCUCAAGCUCCCUGUUCACUUUUAAACACUGGUCACCCAGCUGCACUGCAAAGGAGACACGGUUGAAAUGAAAAUUUAAGAAGUGAAGAGUGAAAGGACUCUAGUGGGAGUCAGAUCACAAACGGUGUGACUAGUUUCCCAGAAGCCGGCCUUUGUUCUGCUCCUGAGGCCUUAUUUGCUUUGGCUCCUCCCUGAAAGUGAGGUCUCCCAGCUGUUUUGUCCCAGCAGAGAGGAGGUAGCGGGAUUUAUUUACCGCAGACAGGCCGGCACCACUCAAGGUCUCCCAGCACCGGGCCCAAGACUAGUUUUCAAAAUCCUGCUUAGCACGGUUCCCUGUGUGACCUUGAGUAAGUCAUUCACAGGCUUGGGGCCUUAUCGUUCCAUCUCUAAAUGCUCCUUUAACUCAGCCUUCUCUGUGGAUAGGUAUCUGACCAGCUCUCCUGGUCCUUGUUCUCCAUAUCGAAUAAGCUAUUUCUGGAACUCCCUUGGGCAGAAAGUCCAGCCUGAUCUGCAGGGAUUACUGCCAUGACAUUCAGCAGCUCCAGGAACCUGCUUUUAGGAUGAGUUAAAUUCAGACUCCUUAAGCCGAUACUUUCUUCUCUCUCCAACCUCGCACUUUUUCUUAUCAUCCUAAAAUAUUAUGUGGUGCCAUAAAUAUAUUUUGAAACUAAAAUUUUUACAUUCUUUCAUGUCAGGUCACUGAGCCUACUAACCUUAUUAGCAAAGUAAUUGUGUUCCAUAAUAAUAUUGUACACGUUAUUACCAUUUUAUUGCCAAUCAUUUCCAAAGACAGUUUUAAUUAAUAAGCAUUUAAUACCCAACAUUAUGACACCCGUGUCUGGCCUGUGAUUUCCCUGGGUUUAAAUGGCCUUUCGGUGCCCAUCAGUUCUGUCGGACAGCACUCGACAGGAGUGCACUGUCGUGGGACAGUGCAUGAAGCUUGGCAGCUAUGGCUGCCGCGUGUUCAGAUUCGAGCUUGCAGAGUCUGUACCCUGGGAACGGCGAUGGGUCUCAGUGCGGGCUGCUGCUGGUGGAUUGCUGCUGGCAGCACACUGGCCAAGCAAGGGUUGUUAGUUUUCUCCCUCUAAAGGUCCCUGGCAGCUCUUCCAUCAACUUCUCCUGCUAUUUAGAGUUCAGUGGGUCUUGGGAAGCUCUGACCAUUCUUAAAGAGCUUCUUUAGGAGGUGAGAAGGGCUUCUGCCCAGGAAACUCCAUUGGUUAAAGUGCUGAGAGGCUCCUGAGAUACUGAGCAUCCCGGAGGGUUGGUGCAGCUGUCAGCACCUGUGAGUUCCCCUUGAUCUCAAGUGAAGAUCAGCCCCUGGGCGAAUGUUUUAAUGGUGGGAAAAGCCUGUUCCACACCACUGGGCCCGGGGGGUCACUCCAGCCACUGGAUGCUGCCAGAACAACUCAGGUAGCAGCCUCGAGUCUCAUUUCCAGAUUCCACGCUAGCGGGCUAUCUAAGGGACAACUUUGCAGUGCUUCCCUGUGUUGUGUGCUCAAGUUUAUUCGUUUAUUUACUGGUUUGUUUGUUUCCUUUAUGUGCAGUGACUGUAGGAUACAUCCAUCAGAGGUGAGACUUUUAGGUAUUUCCAUACUCAUUUAAAAAGUCAAAUACAGGAGUUCCCGUUGUGGUGCAGUGGAAAUGAAUCCGACUAGUAACCAUGAAGUUGUACGUUCAAUCCCUGGCCUCGCUCAGUGGGUUAAGGAUCCGGCGUUUCCAUGACCUGUGGUGUAGGUCGAAGACAUGGCUCGGAUCUGGUGUUGCUGUGGCUGUGGUGUAGGCUGGCAGCUACAGAUCCGACUGGACCCCUAGCCUAGGAACCUCCAUAUGCUGUGGAUGUGGCCCUAAAAAGCAAAAAAUAAAUAAAAAUAAAAAGUUAAAUACAAAGUUCCCACCAUGGCCCAGUGGAUUAAGAACCUGACUGCCGUGGCUCAGGUCACUGUGGAGGU
Molecule: long non-coding RNA, 2606 nt
Filed under: Sus scrofa (pig)
Lineage: Eukaryota; Metazoa; Chordata; Mammalia; Artiodactyla; Suidae
Description: lncRNA (ENSSSCG00000059285.1)
Source: RNAcentral